This is a non-coding RNA of Erythranthe guttata (spotted monkey flower), 471 nucleotides long. Lineage: Eukaryota; Viridiplantae; Streptophyta; Magnoliopsida; Lamiales; Phrymaceae. The record is from RefSeq and is a predicted model, not a curated record.
GAUAUGACAGAACAUUGAGAGCUAGGUAGGGGGGUAGAUAUGAGUAUGUGAAUUGGGAUGAAUCGAAAUAUCCAAAUAGAGAUGCCAAAGGGAAUGUCCCUAAAACUAGAGGGGCCUAUCCUUAAUUAAUUGACAAUAGGUGCCUACGUGGCAAGCCAUGUUAAUAUGGCCCCCCUCUCCCACCUUUUCUUCUCUUACAACUAACUCCACUUUGAUUUUUCAUUCAACACACAUAUUUCAACUUCAAUCAAAUUAAAACCUCCCAAGAAAAUGAAGAUCUUCAACUGGGUUCACCGCCGGUUUGUUCAUAAAGAUGGAUUGGGAGAAAACGGGAAGAAGAUUGAGGGUGAUGAUGAAGGAAACUUUGUGGUGGAUGAUCAUGAAAACAAGAAUGGGACGUUUUGUGGUUGGAAAGGAGGUAUUUUAACCAUUGGAACCUUUGGGUACGACGACCCAUUAAUAUUAUUGGAA